This is a long non-coding RNA of Episyrphus balteatus (marmalade hoverfly), 453 nucleotides long. RefSeq lists it as uncharacterized. The record is from RefSeq and is a predicted model, not a curated record. The transcript is spliced from 2 exons. NCBI's taxonomy places the organism in Eukaryota, Metazoa, Arthropoda, Insecta, Diptera, Syrphidae.
AUAUAUAUUAAAAAAAAAAAAGAAAAGCAAGACAAAAAAAAAUCUGUUCGCUCAAGGAUUUAAUAUUCUUUCAAUUUUCAUUAAGUGCGAAUACACUUAAGUUCAAAAGCACACUCCAGGACUCCAGCAGAUAGAAGAUAUACACCAAUUCUGUGUGUUUCCUACUAGGUACUCCUUUCUCGAUUCUCCCCCUCUUUUAUGGAAGGAAAAACCAUGGAAUAUUUAUCGAUAUCAACAAUUGCCUUGGCAAAGGAUGUAGAAAAUCUAUUGGAAUUCUAGCAGGCAAACACCACACACCAAAAAAAAAAAAAAAAGUAGAAGAACCAUGCAGACAAGGGAUACACUUUUUUUCUUGUUGGAUAUAUUUGAGAUGAUAAUGGCGAGAGUCCUUUUUCCUUGGCAGAGAUUUUGGAUUUGAAAAUUUAAUACAAAAAAAAAAAAAUCCAAAGAAAA